UAAGACGAACCGUGCGAACGUUGUUCGGAAUCACUGGGCUUAAAGGGCGCGUAGGCGGCCCCGCCAGUCUCGGGUGAAAUCUUCCGGCCCAACCGGAAAACGGCCCGGGAUACUGCGGGGCUCGAGCGAGGCAGGGGCGGGGGGAACUUCCGGUGGAGCGGUGAAAUGCGUUGAUAUCGGAAGGAACGCCGGUGGCGAAAGCGCCCCGCUGGGCCUCUCCUGACGCUGAGGCGCGAAAGCCAGGGGAGCGAACGGGAUUAGAUACCCCGGUAGUCCUGGCCCUAAACGAUGGGCACUGGGUAGUGGGCUUUUCGGGGCUCACUGCCGCAGCGAAAGUGGUAAGUGCCCCGCCUGGGGAGUAUGGUCGCAAGGCUG
This 375-nucleotide ribosomal RNA is filed under the name uncultured bacterium. RNAcentral's name for it is "bacterial SSU rRNA". It matches the Rfam family "Bacterial small subunit ribosomal RNA", at positions 521 to 896 of the family's 1533-position model. The record is from RNAcentral.